GGCCAGAAAACUAAAAAACAGGGAAGCUAGAAAAUCGAGUAAAAUGAACGAAAACUCGUUUUGAUGAAGAAUUAGCGAUGGAUCAUAGAUCUGUUGAACCAAUUGUAAGCUAAUCUGAUCCUCUCAUGUCAGUGAUUCACGUUAUUUCAAAAUUUAGAUCGUUUUUUUCUUUUUAUUUAUGAAAUUAUAUACAGAUUUAUCAUUUUAACUUCUGGAUCAUAUUCGGAAAUUAAUAUUCCAUUGUGAUUAAUUACUGAUAAAAUAAACAAAAAAAUUAGAAAAUAAAUCUUAAUUUAGUUAGAAGAAUUAUGUGAAGAUUUAUUUCGGGUUACCGGAACAUAUUUUAUUUUCCCGGGAUUAAAUUUUAAUCCCAUAAAUUUAAUAAUUAUUUUUUCAUGCAACUAUGACUGUAUACCUGAAUUUGCAGCGGCUAGGAAACAAGAAGGUGACAAGUGACAACUCUACUUGGGGUGUUGAAAACUAAAUUCGAAGGCAGAUUCAUGCAAAUAUACACUCUCUUUUGUCAGUCUUUAUCAACUAGAAAGAAUAAUACAUAUGCUGUACAUGCUUUGGCAUUGCCAUUAAUGACCAUUGAUAUUUUAUGGAACACUUGUAUGUUUUAUGCCAUUACUGUUAGAAAAGGGUUAAGGGGUUUUUGUAAGGAAUUAGGCACUUGUUCUUUGUAACCUCAUUGCCUUUUUUUUAUCAAAUGCAGUCUAGGUAUGUGUGUAGAGUCCAAUUCAACUAUUCUUUCAAUCCUUAAAAUGUUUUUAUAAUGUUAAUCUUUCACAGGCUCUUUGGUUUCAUCGUUGUUUCCUUUCCCUUCAUUUGAUGCGGCUUUUGAUAACUUUUGAUGGUAUUUGGUGCCAUUCUGAGCAGAAAACCAGCUAGGGUAAUGAAAUCAAUAUCUUUUUGGACAAUGAAUUAUGUCUCCUGGAUUCUUGAUCAACCAUUCAAGACAUGGAGUUUGAGGGUUUCGUAGAACAAGCAAUGUCUUCAGCAGCUUGCUUUUUAUGGUUGAUGAAGGUAAUUGUAAAAAAAUUGCUUAAAUUAUAUGGAGAUUGAACUGUAAGUGAAGCUGAAAUUUGGAAAUUUGAAGACCAUAUAUCACAUAAGACAUCUUCAGAAAGAUCUUUCCUUUGGGAUUUUAUAGACCUCAGAAGCUUUUAAUGAACAUCUACAUCCGAAUUAGUUCAUCUUUG
This 1202-nucleotide long non-coding RNA is filed under the name Gossypium barbadense (sea-island cotton). Its description in RNAcentral is "long non-coding RNA (GBAR_LNC021094)". The record is from RNAcentral. Lineage: Eukaryota; Viridiplantae; Streptophyta; Magnoliopsida; Malvales; Malvaceae.